RNAcentral lists this ribosomal RNA (278 nucleotides) under Strongyloides stercoralis. RNAcentral's name for it is "partial small subunit ribosomal RNA". It matches the Rfam family "Eukaryotic small subunit ribosomal RNA", at positions 1233 to 1521 of the family's 1831-position model. Lineage: Eukaryota; Metazoa; Nematoda; Chromadorea; Rhabditida; Strongyloididae. The record is from RNAcentral.
AUAAGGAUUGACAGAUUGAUAGCUCUUUCAUGAUUUAGUGGUUGGUGGUGCAUGGCCGUUCUUAGUUCGUGGAUAUGAUUUGUCUGGUUGAUUCCGAUAACGAGCGAGACUUUUAUGUUAUAUUAAAUAUUAUUAUUUUGUUUAUUUUAAUAUAAAUAAUUAAUAUUUUAAUAACAGAUUAAUAGUGUUUAACUAUUUGAGAGAGAGCGAUAACAGGUCUGUGAUGCCCUUAGAUGUCCGGGGCUGCACGCGCGCUACAAUGUAGUGAUCAUUAUGUU